CCUACGGGUGGCAGCAGUAGGGAAUCUUCCACAAUGGGCGCAAGCCUGAUGGAGCAACACCGCGUGAGUGAAGAAGGGUUUCGGCUCGUAAAGCUCUGUUGUUGGAGAAGAACGUGCGUGAGAGUAACUGUUCACACAGUGACGGUAUCCAACCAGAAAGUCACGGCUAACUACGUGCCAGCAGCCGCGGUAAUACGUAGGUGGCAAGCGUUAUCCGGAUUUAUUGGGCGUAAAGCGAGCGCAGGCGGUUGCUUAGGUCUGAUGUGAAAGCCUUCGGCUUAACCGAAGAAGUGCAUCGGAAACCGGGCAACUUGAGUGCAGAAGAGGACAGUGGAACUCCAUGUGUAGCGGUGGAAUGCGUAGAUAUAUGGAAGAACACCAGUGGCGAAGGCGGCUGUCUGGUCUGCAACUGACGCUGAGGCUCGAAAGCAUGGGUAGCAAACAGGAUUAGAUACCCGGGUAGUC
Molecule: ribosomal RNA, 465 nt
Filed under: uncultured bacterium
Lineage: Bacteria
Description: partial 16S ribosomal RNA
Rfam family: Bacterial small subunit ribosomal RNA
Source: RNAcentral